GACACCUCAUCUAGCUGUUCAGU
RNAcentral lists this non-coding RNA (23 nucleotides) under Cricetulus griseus (Chinese hamster). Lineage: Eukaryota; Metazoa; Chordata; Mammalia; Rodentia; Cricetidae. The record is from RNAcentral.